GAUGAACGCUGGCGGCGUGCCUAAUACAUGCAAGUCGAGCGAACGGACGAGAAGCUUGCUUCUCUGAUGUUAGCGGCGGACGGGUGAGUAACACGUGGAUAACCUACCUAUAAAACUGGGAUAACUUCGGGAAACCGGAGCUAAUACCGGAUAAUAUUUUGAACCGCAUGGUUCAAAAGUGAAAGACGGUCUUGCUGUCACUUAUAGAUGGAUCCGCGCUGCAUUAGCUAGUUGGUAAGGUAACGGCUUACCAAGGCAACGAUGCAUAGCCGACCUGAGAGGGUGAUCGGCCAAACUGGAACUGAGACACGGUCCAGACUCCUACGGGAGGCAGCAGUAGGGAAUCCUCCGCAAUGGGCGAAAGCCUGACGGAGCAACGCCGCGUGAGUGAUGAAGGUCUUCGGAUCGUAAAACUCUGUUAUUAGGGAAGAACAUAUGUGUAAGUAACUGUGCACAUCUUGACGGUACCUAAUCAGAAAGCCACGGCUAACUACGUG
This 497-nucleotide ribosomal RNA is filed under the name uncultured bacterium. Its description in RNAcentral is "partial 16S ribosomal RNA". It matches the Rfam family "Bacterial small subunit ribosomal RNA", at positions 28 to 507 of the family's 1533-position model. The record is from RNAcentral.